CAAGACAACUUUACGGAGUUGACGAUUGACGGAGCGAAGCGACGUCAAAGCGUUCAUUAAAGUCGAGUUGGCUUAGGGAUACGUUCGUUGGGUAGGGGAGCGUUCUGUAAGCCUGUGAAGGUGUGUCGUGAGGCAUGCUGGAGGUAUCAGAAGUGCGAAUGCUGACAUAAGUAACGAUAAAGCGGGUGAAAAGCCCGCUCGCCGGAAGACCAAGGGUUCCUGUCCAACGUUAAUCGGGGCAGGGUGAGUCGACCCCUAAGGCGAGGCCGAAAGGCGUAGUCGAUGGGAAACGGGUUAAUAUUCCCGUACUUGGUGUUACUGCGAAGGGGGGACGGAGAAGGCUAUGUUGGCCGGGCGACGGUUGUCCCGGUUUAAGCGUGUAGGUGUGUGUUCCAGGUAAAUCCGGUUCACUUUUACACUGAGGCGUGACGACGAGGCACUACGGUGCUGAAGCAACAAAUGCCCUGCUUCCAGGAAAAGCCUCUAAGCAUCAGGUAACACGAAAUCGUACCCCAAACCGACACAGGUGGUCAGGUAGAGAAUACCAAGGCGCUUGAGAGAACUCGGGUGAAGGAACUAGGCAAAAUGGUGCCGUAACUUCGGGAGAAGGCACGCUGACACGUAGGUGAAGUGAUUUACUCAUGGAGCUGAAGUCAGUCGAAGAUACCAGCUGGCUGCAACUGUUUAUUAAAAACACAGCACUGUGCAAACACGAAAGUGGACGUAUACGGUGUGACGCCUGCCCGGUGCCGGAAGGUUAAUUGAUGGGGUCAGCGUAAGCGAAGCUCCUGAUCGAAGCCCCGGUAAACGGCGGCCGUAACUAUAACGGUCCUAAGGUAGCGAAAUUCCUUGUCGGGUAAGUUCCGACCUGCACGAAUGGCGUAAUGAUGGCCAGGCUGUCUCCACCCGAGACUCAGUGAAAUUGAACUCGCUGUGAAGAUGCAGUGUACCCGCGGCAAGACGGAAAGACCCCGUGAACCUUUACUAUAGCUUGACACUGAACAUUGAGCCUUGAUGUGUAGGAUAGGUGGGAGGCUUUGAAGUGUGGACGCCAGUCUGCAUGGAGCCGACCUUGAAAUACCACCCUUUAAUGUUUGAUGUUCUAACGUGGACCCGUAAUCCGGGUUGCGGACAGUGUCUGGUGGGUAGUUUGACUGGGGCGGUCUCCUCCUAAAGAGUAACGGAGGAGCACGAAGGUUGGCUAAUCCUGGUCGGACAUCAGGAGGUUAGUGCAAUGGCAUAAGCCAGCUUGACUGCGAGCGUGACGGCGCGAGCAGGUGCGAAAGCAGGUCAUAGUGAUCCGGUGGUUCUGAAUGGAAGGGCCAUCGCUCAACGGAUAAAAGGUACUCCGGGGAUAACAGGCUGAUACCGCCCAAGAGUUCAUAUCGACGGCGGUGUUUGGCACCUCGAUGUCGGCUCAUCACAUCCUGGGGCUGAAGUAGGUCCCAAGGGUAUGGCUGUUCGCCAUUUAAAGUGGUACGCGAGCUGGGUUUAGAACGUCGUGAGACAGUUCGGUCCCUAUCUGCCGUGGGCGCUGGAGAACUGAGGGGGGCUGCUCCUAGUACGAGAGGACCGGAGUGGACGCAUCACUGGUGUUCGGGUUGUCAUGCCAAUGGCACUGCCCGGUAGCUAAAUGCGGAAGAGAUAAGUGCUGAAAGCAUCUAAGCACGAAACUUGCCCCGA
RNAcentral lists this ribosomal RNA (1683 nucleotides) under Salmonella enterica subsp. enterica serovar 4,[5],12:i:-. Its description in RNAcentral is "partial 23S ribosomal RNA". It matches the Rfam family "Bacterial large subunit ribosomal RNA", at positions 1163 to 2802 of the family's 2925-position model. Lineage: Bacteria; Pseudomonadati; Pseudomonadota; Gammaproteobacteria; Enterobacterales; Enterobacteriaceae. The record is from RNAcentral.